This 554-nucleotide ribosomal RNA is filed under the name uncultured bacterium. RNAcentral describes it as "bacterial SSU rRNA". It matches the Rfam family "Bacterial small subunit ribosomal RNA", at positions 9 to 526 of the family's 1533-position model. The record is from RNAcentral.
GAGUUUGAUCCUGGCUCAGGAUAAACGCUGGCGGCGCACAUAAGACAUGCAAGUCGAACGGAAGUCGUUAUGAUGAUUUCAACACUGACAGAGAACUUGUUCAAAGAAAGUAGAGAUUGACUUAUAACAAUGGCUUUAGUGGCGGACUGGUGAGUAACACGUGAGCAACCUGCCUAUCAGAGGGGAAUAACAGUGAGAAAUCAUUGCUAAUACCGCAUAUGCCAUAAAUAUCACAUGAUAAAAGUGGGAAAGGAGUAAUCCGCUGAUAGAUGGGCUCGCGUCUGAUUAGAUAGUUGGUGGGGUAACGGCCUACCAAGUCGACGAUCAGUAGCCGGACUGAGAGGUUGAACGGCCACAUUGGGACUGAGAUACGGCCCAGACUCCUACGGGAGGCAGCAGUCGGGAAUAUUGCGCAAUGGAGGAAACUCUGACGCAGUGACGCCGCGUAUAGGAAGAAGGUUUUCGGAUUGUAAACUAUUGUCGUUAGGGAAGAUACAAGACAGUACCUAAGGAGGAAGCUCCGGCUAACUACGUGCCAGCCGCCGCGGUAAUUC